Long non-coding RNA from Sebastes umbrosus (honeycomb rockfish), 776 nucleotides. RefSeq lists it as uncharacterized. Lineage: Eukaryota; Metazoa; Chordata; Actinopteri; Perciformes; Sebastidae. The transcript has 4 exons. The record is from RefSeq and is a predicted model, not a curated record.
UCAUACUAAAAUUGCACUUUUUCUGACAUUGUUAUGGCAUACUAAUUGUUGGAGCCAUUCCAGUGGUGACCAGUGAGUGGCGCUGUGGGUUGCCAUGGUAGUGUAGACUCAUUUGGACCAAGUUGAUUCAGGUGUGACGCACAGAGAGGUCCAUCUAUGUUGUCUGACUGCAGAGUCUGGUUAAUGAUGCUAGUGUUUAUUUGAAGAGAUGUAACUUACUUUUGUGACAGUGGGAAAAUAAAUGGAUUGAUAUCUAAACACAGUUAGAGCAACUGUGUUUAUCUGGAUCUGUAUGUUGUCCAUCACAAGGGAACAGCUGUGCAACCGGAGAGACCUGUCCCAUGAACAAGUGAAAUGAUUUGUUGCUGCCGCUGACUGACCGGUUACCAGUGACGUUCCUCCCUCAGGACUUCCUCUGACGCACCGUCUCGGAGCUGCCGUUGAGUUUGCUCCGCCCGGAGGGGGUGACCGUGCUGCCGUUGCCUAGGGGGCGCUCCCGGUCCGUGGGGACUUCCUGUUUGCGUCGACGGGUCUCUUUGUAACGAAGUGUGAUGUCACUGUGAGAAGAUCGAAGAAAGGAAACUUUCUAUUUCCACCAUAAUAUGCAUCGUCAUGGAGAAAAGCCAGGAGUCCAAGCAGUCCUUACCGGAUGAAAAACCGCCACAGGGUCCAGGUAAAGAUGAGGAGGAGUCCUAAGAACCAGCACUGCGUAACGACGAAGGGGAUGGGCAGCAUGAUGGUCCUGGGGUCGUACUUGACCACUAUGAGGAACUCCG